UGUAGCAUCAUAUCAGUAAUUGUUAUGGUUGGGAUGUCCAAGUUUCUUAUUGCCCUGGCCAUAGCUGCAUUUGUGGGAGUUUUCAUUGGUCUCACCCUUGGACUUUUGGUAGUUGCCAUUUCUGGAACUGUUUUCCUAUGGCUUUAUGGAAGCUUCUGGACAACAAUAUUUGUCAUUAUCAUUGGAGGGUUGGCAUUCAUGUUGAGCCAUGAACGCCUUGCAUUAUUGAUCACCACUGUGUAUUCUGUAUAUUGUGCAUGGACAUAUGUUGGAUGGCUUGGCUUAAUUUUGGCAUUGUAUUUAUCUUUUAUCUCAAGUGACGUUCUGAUAUUCUUCCUGAAGAAUAACAUUAACCAGCGCAGAUCCAGUAGAUCCCCUGAACAAUCUGCAGGAGUGGAAGGUCAACCAGGCUUCUUCAAUAGUGAGUCCUUUCAUUCUUCUUUCUCUGAAACUAGCCCAGGGUUAUCAUCAGAUCGUAGCCCUGGAGUUCCCUCAACCAGUGGGGCAGAUGCUGAGUUGACUUCUGAAGAAGAAGUUAUACGGUUGUUGAACUGUACUGAUCACUAUUCGGUGCUGGGUUUGUCCCGUUAUGAGAAUGUGGAUGUUUCUUUACUGAAGAGGGAGUAUAGAAAAAAGGCGAUGUUGGUUCAUCCUGACAAGAAUAUGGGCAAUGAGAAGGCUGCGGAAGCAUUUAAGAAACUUCAAAAUGCGUAUGAGGUUUUGCUUGAUUCCUUGAAGCGAAAAGCUUAUGAUGAUGAAUUAAGGAGGGAAGAGUUGCUGAACUAUUUCCGUAAAAGCACUUCUCAGAAGAAUGGAGAGCACGGUUUCUUUGCCUCUGGAUUUGCUCAUUCAGAGGCUGAAGGUGAAGACCCUUUUGGAGAAUCAAGGCGCAUAGCUUGCAAAAAGUGCAACAAUUUUCAUGUAUGGAUACAGACAAAGAAGUCAAAAUCUCGAGCAAGAUGGUGCCAGGAUUGCAAAGACUUUCACCAGACAAAAGAUGGGGAUGGAUGGGUUGAACAAUCUUCUCAACCAUUCUUUUUUGGAUUAUUGCAGAAGGUUGAUGCUCCCACUGCAUAUGUUUGUGCAGAUGGCAAGAUAUAUGAUGCUACCGAAUGGUAUAUUUGCCAGGGAAUGAGAUGUCCAGCCAACACUCACAAACCAAGCUUCCAUGUGAACACUAGUGUUACUGCCAAGCACAAUACUUCCAAGGGAUCUAGUUCAGGACAAAGAAGUGGUCGGAUGCCAACAUCGAACAUGGAAGAGACCAUGACAGAGGAAGAAUUCUUUGAGUGGUUUCAGAAUGCUGUGCAAGCAGGUGUAUUUGACAAUUUCAAUGGCGGCGCUGCUGCGGAGAGCCCAUCUCCGAAGAGCAGUGGAAAUGGUAAUGGUAGUAACAGUGGUAACAAGAGGAAGAAAAAGGGCAAAAAGCAAUGGUGAAAGUAGAUAUUUUUCCAUACUUGAUUCUCUAAUUUUGUAAGCAUUUUACAAAACCUUUGAAAAGGGCGUAUAAGCUUCUUGAAAGGCCUGAUUGGAAAAGUAAAAAAAGUUUUUAAGUUCGAUUCCGAUGAGU
RNAcentral lists this unclassified non-coding RNA (1570 nucleotides) under Hevea brasiliensis (rubber tree). The record is from RNAcentral. Lineage: Eukaryota; Viridiplantae; Streptophyta; Magnoliopsida; Malpighiales; Euphorbiaceae.